This 387-nucleotide ribosomal RNA is filed under the name uncultured bacterium. RNAcentral's name for it is "bacterial SSU rRNA". It matches the Rfam family "Bacterial small subunit ribosomal RNA", at positions 30 to 417 of the family's 1533-position model. The record is from RNAcentral.
AUUGAACGCUGGCGGCAUGCCUUACACAUGCAAGUCGAACGGCAGCACGGGAGCAAUCCUGGUGGCGAGUGGCGAACGGGUGAGUAAUAUAUCGGAACGUGCCCAGUCGUGGGGAUAACGUAGCGAAAGCUACGCUAAUACCGCAUACGAUCUAUGGAUGAAAGCGGGGGAUCGCAAGACCUCGCGCGAUUGGAGCGGCCGAUAUCAGAUUAGGUAGUUGGUGAGGUAAAGGCUCACCAAGCCGACGAUCUGUAGCUGGUCUGAGAGGACGACCAGCCACACUGGGACUGAGACACGGCCCAGACUCCUACGGGAGGCAGCAGUGGGGAAUUUUUGGACGAUGGGCGCAAGCCUGAUCCAGCAAUGCCGCGUGCAGGAUGAAGGCCU